AGAAUCAGAGGUUCCUGCAACUUAUUCUUUUUCCAAUGCCCUUUUGGCAAUAUCCACCUGACCGUUUGCUCUUUUUUUUUUGUUUUCGGUUCAGGCGUUUCUUGCAUUGCUUUUUCCUUUUCUUUUCUUUUCUUUUUUUCUUUUUCUUUUUUUUUAUUUUUUCUUUUUUUCUUUAGCAGGAUCGACCUCGACUCCUCUUUCGUUCACAAUAGGUCUCGGCAACUUACCGGACAGCACUCCACAAGUGCACUGAAUCGGACUCAACCUCAGUCUGAGUUGU
Molecule: long non-coding RNA, 280 nt
Filed under: Lathyrus oleraceus (garden pea)
Lineage: Eukaryota; Viridiplantae; Streptophyta; Magnoliopsida; Fabales; Fabaceae
Description: Pisum sativum (pea) long non-coding RNA (PSAT_LNC022667)
Source: RNAcentral